GAUGAAGAACGCAGCGAAAUGCGAUACGUAGUGUGAAUUGCAGAAUUCAGUGAAUCAUCGAAUCUUUGAACGCACAUUGCACCUCUCGGUAUUCCGGGAGGUAUGCCUGUUCGAGCGUCAUUUGUACCCUCAAGCUCUGCUUGGUGUUGGGUGUUCGUUCCGCCUCUGUGUGUGAACUCGCCUCAAAACAAUUGGCAGCCGGCGUACUUGUUUCGGAGCGCAGCACAUUUUGCGAUCCAGAUCAACGUACAGCGGCAUCCAAGAAGCCUUAUUUAACGCUCUUGACCUCGGAUCAGGUAGGGAUACCCGCUGAACUUAAGCAUAUCAAUAAGCGGAGGA
Molecule: unclassified non-coding RNA, 339 nt
Filed under: soil metagenome
Description: partial contains 5.8S ribosomal RNA, internal transcribed spacer 2, and large subunit ribosomal RNA
Rfam family: 5.8S ribosomal RNA (bases 1-120)
Source: RNAcentral